UUACCACUUUGUGAUUCAUGACUGGGGUGAAGUCGUAACAAGGUAACCCUAGGGGAACCUGGGGUUGGAUCACCUCCUUACCUAAA
This 86-nucleotide ribosomal RNA is filed under the name Rheinheimera sp. SA_1. RNAcentral describes it as "partial 16S ribosomal RNA". It matches the Rfam family "Bacterial small subunit ribosomal RNA", at positions 1454 to 1533 of the family's 1533-position model. Lineage: Bacteria; Pseudomonadati; Pseudomonadota; Gammaproteobacteria; Chromatiales; Chromatiaceae. The record is from RNAcentral.